This 520-nucleotide unclassified non-coding RNA is filed under the name uncultured Glomus. Its description in RNAcentral is "sequence contains 18S rRNA gene". It matches the Rfam family "Eukaryotic small subunit ribosomal RNA", at positions 569 to 1085 of the family's 1831-position model. Lineage: Eukaryota; Fungi; Glomeromycota; Glomeromycetes; Glomerales; Glomeraceae. The record is from RNAcentral.
AGCAGCCGCGGUAAUUCCAGCUCCAAUAGCGUAUAUUAAAGUUGUUGCAGUUAAAAAAGCUCGUAGUUGAAUUUCGGGAUCAAUAUGUCGGUCGUGCCUUCGGUACGUACUGGUAUCAUUGGUCUCUCCUUUCUGACGAACCAUGAUGUCAUUAAUUUGGUGUUAUGGGGGAGUUAGGACUGUUACUUUGAAAAAAAUUAGAGUGUUUAAAGCAGGCUUUAGCUUGAAUACAUUAGCAUGGAAUAAUGAAAUAGGACGUUCGAACCUAUUUUGUUGGUUUCUAGGAUCAACGUAAUGAUUAAUAGGGAUAGUUGGGGGGCAUUAGUAUUCAAUUGUCAGAGGUGAAAUUCUUGGAUUUAUUGAAGACUAACUACUGCGAAAGCAUUUGCCAAGGAUGUUUUCAUUAAUCAAGAACGAAAGUUAGGGGAUCGAAGACGAUCAGAUACCGUCGUAGUCUUAACCAUAAACUAUGCCGACUAGGGAUCGGAUGAUGUUAAUUUUUUUAAUGACUCAUUCGGCG